This 24-nucleotide non-coding RNA is filed under the name Arabidopsis thaliana (thale cress). The record is from RNAcentral. Lineage: Eukaryota; Viridiplantae; Streptophyta; Magnoliopsida; Brassicales; Brassicaceae.
CCGGGGAACGGAUGGCGGAUUAGC